GACGCGGUGACCAAAUAGUUAGCGUGUUGGACUCCAGAUCGAGCGGUCUGGGUUCGAGCGCUGGCCGGGUCA
Desmophyllum pertusum is the source of this 72-nucleotide non-coding RNA. NCBI's taxonomy places the organism in Eukaryota, Metazoa, Cnidaria, Anthozoa, Scleractinia, Caryophylliidae. The record is from the annotation of a GenBank genome assembly.